RNAcentral lists this small nuclear RNA (342 nucleotides) under Erinaceus europaeus (western European hedgehog). RNAcentral describes it as "7SK RNA (ENSEEUG00000021508.1)". It matches the Rfam family "7SK RNA". Rfam says of the family: 7SK was discovered as an abundant small nuclear RNA in the mid-70s but a possible function has only recently been suggested. Two independent studies have found that 7SK RNA binds the CDK9/cyclin T complex (known as elongation factor P-TEFb). The record is from RNAcentral. Lineage: Eukaryota; Metazoa; Chordata; Mammalia; Eulipotyphla; Erinaceidae.
AGAUGUGAGGGUGAUCUGGUUGUGACAGUUGUCACCCCAUUGAUUGCCAGGUUGAUUUGGCUGAUCUGGCUGGCUAGGCGGGGUGUCCCCCUUCCUCCGUCACCACUCCAUGUGUGAUCCUCCAGAAGCCUUGCACUUGGUUGAAGACUGACGGCCUACCGAGUAGAGGUCACCAGUCUUUGGUUGAGGGUAUAUUAGUAGCUGUGCUCCCCUGCUAGAACCUGAUCAGAUAUUUCCUCUAUCCUGUCAUAUUUUCAUCACCAAAAUAAUUCUCCUCCUGGAAGCUAAGCACAAAGGAGAUACUCCAACCUAGUCCAACUUGUACCCUCCAAGUUAAAAUUU